This 557-nucleotide ribosomal RNA is filed under the name uncultured fungus. Its description in RNAcentral is "SSU rRNA". It matches the Rfam family "Eukaryotic small subunit ribosomal RNA", at positions 194 to 755 of the family's 1831-position model. The record is from RNAcentral. Lineage: Eukaryota; Fungi.
GGAAGGGGUGUAUUUAUUAGAUAAAAAACCAAUGCCCUUCGGGGCUCCUUGGUGAUUCAUAAUAACUUAACGAAUCGCAUGGCCUUGUGCCGGCGAUGGUUCAUUCAAAUUUCUGCCCUAUCAACUUUCGAUUGUAGAGUAGUGGUCUACAAUGGUUUCAACGGGUAACGGGGAAUUAGGGUUCUAUUCCGAAGAGGGAGCCUGAGAAACGGCUACCACAUCCAAGGAAGGCAGCAGGCGCGCAAAUUACCCAAUCCCGACACGGGGAGGUAGUGACAAUAAAUACUGAUACAGGGCUCUUUUGGGUCUUGUAAUUGGAAUGAGUACAAUUUAAAUCCCUUAACGAGGAACAAUUGGAGGGCAAGUCUGGUGCCAGCAGCCGCGGUAAUUCCAGCUCCAAUAGCGUAUAUUAAAAUUGUUGCAGUUAAAAAGCUCGUAGUUGAACCUUGGGCCUGGUUGGUCGGUCCGCCUCACCGCGUGCACUGAUCCGACCGGGCCUUUCCUUCUGGGGAGCCGCAUGCCCUUCACUGGGUGUGUCGGGGAACCAGGACUUUUAC